Molecule: long non-coding RNA, 655 nt
Filed under: Phoenix dactylifera (date palm)
Lineage: Eukaryota; Viridiplantae; Streptophyta; Magnoliopsida; Arecales; Arecaceae
Description: long non-coding RNA (PDAC_LNC009274)
Source: RNAcentral
AUGAGUUCCCUCCCAGCUGGAUGAGCAUCCCAUCUUUCUUCCGCUAGAUCCCGGUCCAAGCGCUUCCUCCUCAUCUCCUCUGUGUCCAGCUCACCACAUUUGUGAUCUAUUCCACGUUCCAACGCCUCCCCAUCAUAUCUUCAUCACGAGUUCAUCCCUGUUUUAGCUUCAAAACAUAGCCAUAUCCCAACCAAAUCCAAACGUAUUCUUCCCUGUUUCGGAACAACUUCCUCCCAGCCGAAUCCAAACCUCCACGUCCUUCCCAGCUUCCCUGCAUUCACAACAUCCAUCUAGAACCAAGUCUAAACAAAAUCCCCUGUUCCUAUUUCCAUUCUUUCCCAAGUUUAUCUUCUCGGAUCACAUCUCCCAGAUCUCCAACCAACGACAGCACAACCAACCUCCCAACUCCACACUCCGAGUUCAUUUCCUUAUCCUCAUCUUCCUCUCUCCCCCUGCUCCACGUCCGCAGCUUCAUCCUCCCGAGCUUCACGGCAAGGAACUCCGUCCUCCCCUGUUUUGGAACAGGAUCCCAACUCAUCUUCACAGCAUCUGGAAGCCAGCAACCGUCCGAGAUCCUCUCCAUGGCCUCCUCCAUCGACAAGGGAUCAGCUCCCAGUUCCGUUCCCAGCACCUCAUCCACGGACCCAAGGAUCAA